UAAAAAAAGAUUAGUGCUUACACAUAUGGUAAAUGUAUUGAAGAGAUCAGACUUUGGUGAUAUGAACUAGGUCCGAUACAAGCAAUAAAUCUCCAAGUUUUCCCUUGGAUAUGGAAAAGCGUCACCAAUGAUAUUGUUUUCAUCAGCACUGCAGCUCAAUUUAUUUUCAUUAUAUACCACAAUGUUUUAUUUUGGGAUUCUGAAAACCCUUUUAUUGGAAAAUUAGGUCAUUACAGCAAUUGUGUUAUCUCCCUCCACCUUCCUCCAAUGUGCUGAUCAAAUCGCCCCCAGUUCAGGAAAUCAUCAAACAAAUGAGAAUGCUUACUCCACACAUUUAUGUGUCCACAGCUGCCCUUUAAUGAUGUUGUAUCUGUUACCACUGUGGUUUCAAGUAACAUUUUUCUCCUUUCACUUUGGAUGAUGUCCUCCAACAAAUAUUUGCAUGUAAACAGUAAAAAGAAAAAUAUAUUUUUCUGAUCUAAUUGUAUGAUACUUUUGUUUUCUCCUCCUCAAGUUUAAAGAUGCUCAAUGACUGUAGGAAGAAGAUACUGGAUUUUCAAAAUAACAUUUGAUGAAAGCAAUUGCCAUGCAGUGAUGAGAACAGGUUUGGGAGGCUCAAGACCUGGUGUGACAUCCUGACUCCAAUUGGUGUAAGCUGCAUUGCUCUGCUCAAAUGAUUCAAACACUAUAAACUGCAGUUGCACAUUGGUAAUACCUACUUCAUUGGUAUGUAAGAUUUGAAAAUGUUCAUAAACCACCAAGCACUAUGUAAGCAUUAGUUAUUCUUAUUAUGACUUUUUUAUUCCUUCUAUAGGGAAAAGAGUGCUAGAAGUUAUAGCUAGGAAUUCUAGUUACUAUACAAUUCCAUAAACGAUAUUGUGAAAAAGCUUAAAUUCUAAGAUCAAAGAUAAUACUUAUUCAGUAGGGUUUAUAUGUAUGUUUAUAUAUAUAUAUAUAUUUUUACUCAGAGCAAAUAAUAUGGUCAGUAAAAUGGGUGACAAUUGUAAACACAAUGACCAUUAGUGUUGUAAAGUACAUGUCAGCCUAGGAUGUAAAAUAACUUUAUUGAAUAAAACCUUUCUAGCUACAUAAUAUCUAAAGGUUACUGUGUUAAUAUACACACACAAACACACACACAGAAAUAGCACUGAAAAUAAAAUAAAUGAAGAUGCUAUUAAGUUCAAAUGAUGAUGAAAUUGACCCCCAAGUCAUGGGAGUAGGUAAGCAGUAGAGAGCCAGUGGUCUUCUGAAGUCUGUAGCCCUGGGGCCUGACCCAGUCUCAGAUAGUCCCCUCAAUUCAAGAUAAAUUUAAAUGCAAUAGACUAUAAUCCAGGUCUACAUAUUUCCAGAUCAAGCUAUUUUCCCUUCUCCUUGCCAAGUGCAAUAACAAAGUUUGGUUCUGAAAUUCCCCAACGGACUGUUUAGCCUGGCUUUGGGCCCCCACAUAGAGUGUGACAGCAGCCAUGCAGUGAGGGCUUUCACCCCAGGGAAGGUGAUGGUAAGCGUUCAGAAGAUGUGUGCAUGAGGUAAGACAAGUCUUUGCUUCAUAAAGUGUUGUGUGUAUUGUGAGUUGUUUCACUUCUCUUUCUCCCCACAUCAAAUUAUAGUAAGGUCUAAAAGUGAAUAACAAAAAACAGACUUCACAACACAUUUCUAAAUGAUUCCUGGGAGGAAUUCCCACCCAAAUUGAGAAGCUUGGAGUUUUAAGAUGGUUGUUGCUGAGGUCUGACUCUUAAGAGCAAUCUGAGAACCCCUUUCUUUCAUCUGAACUCAGACUAUGCUCUUAGACCUAGAAAAAAAGGGGUUUCAGUGUCCAAAAGCUGAAAGGCUAUGUUGUAGACAUAUAAUGUUUCAUGGACGGCAAAGCACCUGAAGGCUGUGCCUACAUACAGACAAAGCGUGUCCCUAAUUAUAGGUUGAUAGAGGCCAAGAUUUAACUUUCCAAUCCCUCAUUAAAAUAUAAAGGCCUGUGACCUUGCCUACCAGCCAAGGAAUGUGUCUGGUCUUAGGGACAGAAACGACCUAGGAAUGGAGGCUUUUAUGUUCUUGUGGGCAGGAGGUGCAGUAGGAGAAUCAGCUACCAGGGAUGGCCCACAGCACAGUGGAGAUCUCAUGUACAGUGUUGGAAGCAGUGGCAACAGCAUUCAGGCCCUCACUAGAUUAAGUCUGCAGCUUCAUUUGUGCAGUGGUUCUGGCUUAGGAGCCUCUCCUUAUUUUUGUCCUUUGAGCCUGAUUCUCCAAUCUUCCUGGAAAUCUAUGACUCACUCCCUAUCUUUUCAGUAAGGAUUUUUUUUUUUUCUGCCUAAAGAAGCAUUCACUCGGUUGUGGUAUGGAUUGCAUGAUUAUGUCCCCUUCCAACUCAAAAAAAUACCUAUAUGUUGAAACCAUAAUGCUCAAUGGGAUGGUAUUAGAAGGUAGGGCCUUUGGGAGAUGAUUAGAUCAUACAGGUGGAGUCCUUAUAAAUGGGAUUAAUGCCCUUGUAAGGAGAAUUAUAAAGAAAUUGCUUCCUCUUUCUCUGCUCUUAGUCAUAUGAGGAGACAAGGAGAAGAUGUCCAUCUGGAAACCUUCAGGAAGUGGAUCUUCACCAGACACCAGAUCUGCUGGUACUUUGUUCUGGACUUCUCAGUCUCCAGAACUGUGAGAAAUAAGUGUCUGUUGUUUAAGCCAUUCAAUCAAUAGCAUUUUGUCAUAUCAUCCUAAACUGUCUCGUGGUGUUUGUAUUGUUUCAACCUAAAGCCCUGAAUGAUGUGAAUGGUUAACCAUUUAUAAACUACUGAAGUUGACUCAGCACAUUAUCUUGUACAUGGUGGACCACUCAUACCAGAGGUUAGUAGGUUUUUCCAGUUAAACCUUCUAAUCAUGCAGUAAACAUUGUCUGCGCACCAAUAAGUGCCAGGUACUCUUCUCGGUGCUGGGGAUGCAAAAUGACACAAACCUCAGUCUUGCCCAGGAGCUCAUCAUCUCCUAAAAAUAAACAAACAAAAAAGCAAAUCUAUACAUUUGUGUGUUAGUACUAAAACAGAGGUAUGGUCCAGGAUUUAUGUAAACUGAUGACCUUAGUUCUUUGUUGGUUACACACAUUGAAAAUAUAUUCUUACAGUUUAUGGUCUUUUGUUUCACUUUUUAAGGUGUCUUUUAUGUAGAGUUCAUUAUGUUGUAUGUAUUUAUAAUCCAGGAUUAUUAAAAUGCUUGCCUAUAUGUUUUUUGCCUAAAUGUUUUAGGUUUUCUCUAUAUUAAAAAAUUAAUUUAGCAAAUGUUUUCUUGAAUCUAUUGAAGUGAUUUUAUGGUUCUUCUCCUUUAAUGGACUAAUGAAGAUAAUUACUUUAAAAGAUUUUUAAAUAUUAAACUAUACCAGCAUUCCUGGCAUACACCCAAAUGAGUCCUGAAUCUUUCAUAUAUUACUGGAAUCAAUUUGUUAAUAUUUUGUUUAAAAUUUUUACAACUAUGUCCAUAACUUGAAUUGUUGUAUAAUUUUCAUUUAUCAUCUGUCUUGGCUUGGUUUGAUACCAAGAUUAUCUCAGCUUCAUAAAAUAAGUUCAAGUGAAUCAUCUGUUUCCAAGUUCUCUGGAACAGUUUGUGUAAGUGUGGAAUAGUUCUUAUCUUAUUUCCUGAAACUUGACUCUAAAACCUUCCGAGUAAGUUGCCAUUUUUGUGAGUAGAUUCAGCCAUUUCUCUCUUAAGAAUCAUUGUAUCUCUGCUAUAAUUACAUAUUGAAUAUAAAAAGCAUUAAUUGCACCACUUACUAUACACCUCCCCACUGCUCUUAUUCUUCAUUCUAGUUCUUCUCUCAGCAAUUCACCUUCCUUAUGUGUUUUUCAGAAAUAGCCAUUUUCAGGAGAAUGGUGUGAACCUGGGAGGCGGAGCUUGCAGUGAGCCAAGAUCAGGCCACUGCACUCCAGCCCGGGCGACAGAGCAAGACUCCAUCUCAAAAACAAAACAAAAUAAAAACAAAACAAAAACAAACAAACAAAAACAAAACCAGAAAUAGCCAUUUUAUGUACUGUCUGAAGUGAUCUCAUCCAAACUUGUUUUUUUCUAUACAACUAAAGAAACUGAGAGAAUGGAGCAUAUCUGGGUUCAGGAAAUGACCCUUCAAUAUAUUCAGGGCACUGAUGGUUCCCAUCUUACAGAACACAUGCACUAUCCAAUUCCUGAGUGUCCAUUGAGAGAAUAUAAGGUCUUUUCUGCAAAAUCAUUUGCCAAUAUUCAAAGAGCACUUCUUAUACACAGGCUCAGAGCCAGGAUCUGGGAUGAGUAAAGAAGGUACAUGAUCCUCCUCCACCAUUAGCCUUCAAUGUUUCACAGUGUAUUAGUUCAUUCUCACAUUGCUAUAAAGAUAGUACCUGAGACUGGGUAAUUUAUAAAUAAAAGAGAUUUAAUUGACUCACAGUUCUGCAUGGCUGGGGAAGCCUCAGGAAACUUAUAAUCAUGGCAUAGCACAAAGGAGAAGCAAGGAGCUACUUCACAAGGCAGCAGGAGAAAGAGUGAGUGCACAGAGGAAACUGCCAUUUUUAAAACCAUCAGGUCUCACAAGAACUUCUUCACUAUCAUAAGAAUGGCAAGGGGGAAACCACUCCCAUCAUCCAAUCACCUACCACUAGGUUCCUCCAUUGACACAUGGAGAUUACAAUUUGAGAUGAGACUUGAGUGGACACGGAUCCAAACCAUAUCAUUCUGCCCUUGACCCCUCCAAAAUCUCAUUUUUUUUUUCACAUUUGAAAACCAAUCAUGCCUUCCCAACAGUCCCUCAAGAUCUUAACUCAAGCCAGGAUUAACUCAAAAGUCUAAGUCCAAAGUCUCAUCUGAGACAAGGAGAGUCCUUUCCACCUAUGGGCCUGUAAAAUCAAAAGCAAGUUAGUUACUUCCAAGAUACAAUGGGGGUACAGGCAUAGGGUAAAUGUUCCCUUUCCAAGUGGGAGAAAUUGGCCAAAACAAAGGAGCCAGAGGCCCCGUGCAAGUCUGAAACUCAGCCAGGCAGUCAUUAUGUCUUAAAGCUCCCAAAUCUCCUUGGAUUUCAUGUCUCACAUCCAGGGCACACUGAUGCGAGGGGUGGACUCCCAAGACCUUGGGAAGCUCUGCCUCUGUGGCUCUGGAGGGUACAGCCCCUGCAGCUGCCUUCAUGGUCUGGUAUUGAAUGCCUGUGGCUUUUCCAAGCACAUGGUGCAAGCUGUCGGUGGAUCUACCAUCCUGGGGUCUGCAGUAUGGCAGACUUCUCACAGCUCCACUAGGCAGUGCCCCCAUGCAACCUCAAUAUUGGGGCUCCAACCCCACAUUUCCCCUUUGUAAUGCCCUAGCAGAGGUUCUCCAUGAGGGCUCCACCCCUCCAGCAGACAUUUGCCUGAACAUCCGGGCAUUUUUAUACAUCCUCUGAAAUCUAGGCAGAGGUUUCCAAAGCUCAACUCUUGUCUUCUGUGCACCCACAGGCGCAACAUCACAUGGAAGCCACCAAGGCUUGGGGCUUACACCCUCUGAAGCAACGGCCUGAGCUGUAUCUUGGCCCCUUUUAGCCAUGGCUGCAGCUGGAGUGGCUGGGGUGCAGGGCACCAAGCUCCAAAGCUGCACAGAGAGGAAGGGCCCUGGGCCCAACCCACAAAGCCAUUUUUCCGUGCUAAGCCUCUGGGCCUGUGAUAAGAGGGGCUUCUGUUAAGAUCUCUGACAUGCUCUGGAGAGAUUUUCCCCAUUGACUUGGCUAUUAACAUUUGGCUCCUUAUUACUUAUGCAAAUUUCUGCAACCAGCUUGAAUUCCUCCCCAGAAAAUGAGUUUUUUCUUUAUAGUCAGGCUGCAUAUUUCCCAAACCUUUAUACUCUGCUUCGCUUUUAAACAUAAGUUCCAAUUUGAAACCAUCUUUUUUUGAAUGCAUAUAACUGAAAACAUUCAGAACAAUACAGCUCACUUCUUGAAUGCUUCGCUGCUUAGAGAUUUCUUUUGCCAGAUACCCUAAAUUAUCUAUCUCAAGUUCAAAUUUCCACAGAUCUGUAGGGCCGGGGCAAAAUGCUGCCAUUCUCUUUGGUAAAGCAUAACAAGAAUUACCUUUAUUCCAUUUCUCAACAACUUCCUCAUCUCCAUCUGACACCACCUCAGCCUUGACUUCAUUGUCCAUAUCACUAUUAACAGUUUGGUCAAAACCAUUCAACAAGUCUGAAGAAGUUCCAUACUUUCCUAUACCUUCCUGUCUUCUUCUCAGCCCUCCAAACCGUUCGAACGUCUGCCUGUCACUUGGUUCCAAAUUUGCUUCCACAUUUUCAGGUUAUCUUUAUAGCAGUAUCCUACUCCUGUUACCAAUUCUCUGUAUUAAUUCAUUUUCACACUGCUAUAAAGAUACUACCUGAGAAUAGGUAAUUUACAAAUACAAGAGGCUUAACUGACUCACAGUUCUGCAUGGCUGGGGAAGCCUCAGAAAACUUGCAAUCAUGGCAGAAGGCAAAGGAGAAGCAAGAACCUUCUUCACAAGGCAACAGGAGAGAAAGAGAGAGCACAGGGAAAACUGCUAUUUUUUAAACCAUCAGAUCUCAUGAGAGCUUUCAUAUUAUCAUAAGAACAGCAUGGAGGAAACCGCCCCCAUGAUCUAAUCACUUCCCAUAAUGACCCUCCCUGGACACGUAGGAAUUACAUUUCAAGAUGAGAUUUGGGUGGGGAUACAGAGCCAACCCAAACCAUAUCACACAUAUUUUUGGGAAGUGGACAGUUGAUACACCAAUAAUUAAAGCAAUAAGAUAAAUGCAGAGACAGGAACCAGGCAACCCAGAAGAGGCAAUAUCUCAAUGCCUAGGGAUGAGAGAAUGAAAUUGAGGAGUCAAUUUGUCCUCUAGAUAUUGGUUACCAACUUUUUGCCUAGGACUAUUACAUUUUUAGCACUAUACAUUCUUUAACCCAGAAGCUCCUUCAGUUCCUGGCAAACUAGGUCAAUUGGUCACUCUAUCUAGACCUUCAGUGCCUAGCACAAACUUGUCCAACUUGUAGCCCGUGUGCUGCAUGUGGCCCAGGAUGGCUUCGGGUGUGGCCCAACACAAAUUCAUAAACUUUCUUGAAAGUUUAUGUGGUCUUUUUUUGUAAUUUUUUUUAACUCACUAGCUAUCUUUAGUGUUAAUAUAUGUUACGUGUGGCCCAAGACAGUUCUUCUUCUUCCAAUGUGGCCCAUGGAAACCAAAAGAUUGAACGCCCCGGCCUACCACUAUAUAUGGCACAAAGAUGGAAUCCAAAGGGUAUACUUAAUUAGUUGACAUAUGAUCUGAGUAAUCAUGAACAGUAAGUUUUAACCAAGCAUAUGGAAAAGGGAUUGCAAGGCUGUCUGGAGGAACAAUGCAGGCAGAAUUACUAAAGAACAUGGACAUGGUUUGAAAUUGUAAGUCAUCCUAUGUGAUGGAAGGAGCAGUGAGUACAGGAAAAGAGUUGGUGAUAAGACUGCAGAAAUAGACAUGGUUCAGAUGGUAAAAGUCAGGUUGAGGAGUAAGGGCUUUAUUUUAUCCUAUAGUCAAUAAGAGGAUUAAUAGAGAGGCAUUAACAGAGUCAGCUAGCUCUGAGAUAAUAUGAGCAUAGUAGGGAAGAAUCCAAAUUUCUUUACGUGUUUGUAUAUAGAGGCAUCUUUGUAUAUAUUUGCAUUUUGUAUAUUCAGGCAUUGGAAGAAUUGUCUGCCUGUUUCUGUUUCUGUUUUUGUUUUUAAUCAGGACCCCAUGUGUGACAGAAGAAAAAGUCUCAAGUUGGAGUUAAAAUUCUCCUGCAUCCUGAUCAGAUUCUGCUGCAUUCUCCAUGUGACCUCAGGUUUUGGUCUCAGGUCUGCUGUUAACUGCCGGUAUAACCCCAGGUAAGCCUCUUGAAUAUUCUGAGCCUGAAUCCCAGUUUUUAAUCUGUGAACUGAAGAAAGGUAAUUUUGUUUCACCCAUCUGUUGUUCUAUAAAUAAAUGAAUUAUGGUAAAUGUGCUUUGUAAACAAAAAUGUUAGCAGGGAUAUGAGACUUUAAAAAAGGACGAGAAAAGUUACAAAUUUUAAGUCAGAAGUUUGAUCUUCCACCUACAGGUUGGGAAAUGAUGGAUGAAGCAUCACUAGUAUCUUGGAGUAGUUCAGUUUCGCUCUGGAGACAGAGUGCCAAGGUCAAAUCACAGUACCACAUUUUACCAGCUAUGUGUGUGGCCUGAGGCAGGUUACUGAAUACAUUAUGUUUCAGUUUCCUCACCAGAUAAAUGUGGGUGAUAUUAAUUGGUUAUGAUAUUAACAUAAGAGGGUGAAUAUAUAUCAAUAGAGUCUAUAUUACAUAGUUGAUAUGAGUGUUAGCUGAGUUAAAAAUCUGCAAAGCCCUGUGAUCAGAGCCUGGCACGCUGACAUUUCUGAAUCCAUGGUAGUCAUUAUAUUUGCUUUGGUUACCUUUUCUGAAAUGAAAAAGAUUAGAAUACCUCUGCCUAGAGCAAAAUAUAAUAAAUUUUAAAAUACUUUGUCAACUUCAAAAGACAGUUCAAAUUUCAGUAGUAUGUAUGAAUAAAUACUGAUGAAAUACAUUUUGCUCAGCAGGGUGGAAUUCCUGGAUUUUGGGUCACACACACAUGCACACUUACACACAGAUGGCCAAACCCACUCACACACAUGGUUACAUACUCAGAGACACACAGACACAUGCACACACACACUCUCACACACAUGUACAAAUGCACUAGAGUUCUGAUCUGUCUCAGUACAAAAUCCACUUCCAUUUUUGAACGUGAAACCUGGAGGAAGAAGAACUAGGGUCUUCCAGAACAACCACAAUUUAAUUUGUUUUCAGGGAGUCCCCUAUCCCCCAGAGAUCAUUAAGCUACAAUUCAGAGUUAUUAAUCUCGAACAAGACAAGUCUUUUUCCUUUUUAGGUACUCAGUUAUUUCAAUUGUAAAAUGAAAAACUUGGUACAUAAGAGUCACUCUAUGAAUAUUUGUGGAAUGAAAUAAUUAAAUGAUCAAAAAGUAAAAUUAUGCAAAAUUAUUAUUGCUAUGAUGUGUUUAUUAUGACAAAAUCUUUCAAGGGUGCAUUUUUUAGAAAAAUUCUGUUAUGCAAUGAUUCCCGAAGUCAACCCAGCCACAAUUACCUUUUUUUCUGUAGAUUACUAAAAUAUUCAUAAAACUCAAUAGUCAGGAGCGAAUGUGUGUGAAAAAGUUUGUCCAUGAGACUCCAAGUCCUCUCUCUUGGGAAUCUCAGGCCUCUCAUUCAUACACUCAUUCAACAACUCUUUGCAGAAUACCUCCUUCGUAUCAAACACUGGCUGGUGGACAAUGACAGAAAAAUGAUAUCAACAGGUUCCUGAUUUUAAGGAGCACUCAGUCUAAAGGGAGAGUGGGAAGAUAUACAGUGGGUAUGGCAAAGACUUUCUGCAGUCGCUAACAUUUCAACUGAUGGGAAAAGUAAGCAGGAAUCCAUCAAGGUUUUAGGGUGUUCUGCCAGUGGGGGGCAGAUUGGCAGAGGCUUUGUUAAGAAAUGCUCUAUGUGUGCACCCAAACUGCAGGAGAAUUCCUGCCAUGGACCAUGGGCAGAAACUCAAGGACAUUGAGCCACAAAAUGCAAUAAAACUUAAAGCACUGUCUCUGACAAGAAAAAUAUGUGCUCACACCUAAUUGACCAAAGUAUGUCAUAUGGCCAAGGUCAAUGUCACAGGGUAAGUCACAUGUCAGGCGACCCAAUUGUUUAAUCUUAUUGCAGAAAAGGAGUAAAAAAUUGAGAAUAAAAAUAUAAUCUUCCAUAUUAAUUUUAUUAACAAGCUGAUAAUUUAGUAGGACCAAUGAGCUUUUAAUAGUAAUAGGAGGUGAGAUUAAAGCCUAAAGUAGAGACAACCCCUUGUGCAUAAACACAGUUCACACAGGUAAAAACCUGGGAGUUCUUUAACACUUUAUUUUCUCUUUUCCCCAAAAGUUAGCCAUUUUCUAAUUCAUGUGAAUUCCAUUUAUAACACUUAUAGUACUUAGCAAAGUAUCUGACACAGAGUUGGUAUUCAUUGUAUGUUUGGUAAAUGAAUGCAUGUAUGCUUGAAUAAAUACAUGGCCAUGCUGCCAGCCUUUUCUUGCAAAGUUUGUUUUAGAUUGGAUUCAAGCUUCUACAGCACCUGUGCUUAUCAACUGCGUCACACUAUUACAGUUCACAAUAAUUGUUUGUUCAUCCGCUUCUCAUUACACCAUACUCAUGGGCGAGGUCAGAGAAUGUGUCACCUCUCCCUAACCGAGGGCCUGGCACAGUGUUUGGCAUAUAAUAAGAGCUCAGCAAUGUUAUUUGAUUCCUAAUUAUCACUAGCAGCAUGAAUUUUUGACUACUUAACAUACAACUUAAGUCAAGAGGUGCUGAAUAACCACAGGUCACACAUUGAAUAAGUGUUAACACUAAAAUUUAUGACACAGUUUUUCUCCAAACUAGUCUUUAUACAGUACAUCAUAUUUAUUUCAGAGAUCAGCUAGAAGCUGAGAGAAAGCAUAUUUAAUAAACACAACAAAGACUAUAUAAAGAACUUAUACAAGUUUAAAAGAAAAACACAAACCCCAGGGAAAUAUGGACAGUUUGAAUAAGUUUGUCAUAAAAUAUAAAAAUAUGUAUGGUUUGUAGAAUAUGAGGGUAUAUCCAGCUCCAUUAGUGUUGAGAAAGAUGCAGUUUAAGACCAUGAUGUGCUACUAUAUUUUACAGUCAGUUGGUUAGUGAAAUUUCAAAAGUCUGACAAUAUCAGAUGCUAGAAAGAUACAAAUUUAUAGCAUAUCUUAUCUAUUACUGGUUGAUAUGUAAACUUGGCUGAAUCUCUUAAGAAAAUAGCUGAGUAUUGUAAACUUGUAUAUUCAAAUACUGAGAAAAGUACAUAUUUUACUUCUACAUGUAGAACCAAGGGAACCUUUUAAACAGGUUCACCAGAUAUGUGUCCACUAUCAUGCACAAAAUCUUUGAAACUAACAAAAACCUAUAAACAACCUAAUGCCAAUAGAGAGGAUAUGAGAUGAAUAAACUGUUGUAUAUUUACUAUUAUGGCCCUAAAAAUAAAUGUGGUAUAAUAAUAAUGAACAGUAUAGAUGAAUUACAAAAAUAUAUUCAAAUUUUAAAAAUACUUUGAAAAAUAUUAUGUAUGCUGUAAAUCCUUUUUAAAAAUAAAGUUGAACACAACUAUUAACAAACAAGUGCUUGCUUGAAAUGCCACACACAAAUAGGAAAACAAGGAAAUGAUGCACAGAGAAUUUUGGAUGGUGGUUACUUGAGAUGGGGUUACAUAAGAAAAAUAAAUGCAAGAGGACCCUAUACAGUUAUUGUUAAUGUUCUUCCUUAACUGUGGAUUCAUGGAUGUUUAUGACAUUAUUUCAAAUUAAUUGUAAUCACUUUUUGAAAAUUUGAAAAAGUGUAAUCCAUGGACCAAUGAUACAUUGCAUGGCCAAGGAUUAUAAAUAAUACAAUUGCACUUUAGAUCCAUUAACAAAAGAAGAAGACCUGAUUGAAUCCGAGUACCUAGGCUUAGAGUUAAAACAAAAUAUUGAUCUCGAGGAGAAAUUCUCUACCCCUUGAAAAUUUUCUUCAAGUAGGUCAAGUCCAGGUGUAAGAAGGAGACAGUCAAAUGGAGCACAAGAUAGGCCCAAGGAUUUGGGAUGCUCAAGUUGUGGGUCAGAGGCUGAUGAUACAAACAGGAAUCGGGAAGACACAAAGUAAUAUGGAGCAGGGCUGGACAGCAGUAUAGCUCUAGAAGACUGACAGUCACCAGCACACCCAUGGGAAAGGAGAGGUCAGAGAGGGCCAAUGGACCUGCUGGGUAAACAAUCAGGAUUUGAAGAUUCAAAACAAAUAAAGAAGAUGAUUGUAAAUACUGAACUAGAGUUCACAGAGAAGCUGUGCAGUGCACUGGAAUAAAUACUACAUUCUGGCUUCAACUCUGUUCCUGACUACUCUUAGGCUGUUAUGCAAAUCAUUUUCUCUGUAUAAGCCCCAGUUUCUUCCUAGGAUAACUUCCUCCAUUACAGAGGCUUUUGUGAAGCUCAAGUGAAAAAAUGUAUGUGGACAUGCUUUGGAAAUUACAAAAUGCCUAAUAAAGGUGAGAAGUUGGUAUUAUUUUGCUCACCGAAGACAUUGGAAAUAAAGUGAUCGUGAAAAAAUGUCAAGAUGCCCCUGAUAUUUUUAAGUACUCAUUCACCUGUCUGCCUCCACUAAUGGGUUAUAUGCUCUUAGAUUAUCGAGAUGUCAAUGUGUUCUCUGUAUACUCCUUGUAACUAUCUCAUUAGCUGAUUCCUUGUGGUCUACUAAGUAUUAAAGCAAUCAAUAAAAUAAUUGCAAACAACCUUAGUGCUGGCCUCUAUGUAAUCCAAUUUCCCAAUGACAGUGGUUUUAUAGCUAGAUCCCUUCCCCCCACCCUCCUUAUAGUUGGGACUCCAGCCUUUCUGAGAGAAAAAUCUAAUGAUACAAUUCAGUUUAAAAAUUCUCUUAAGCUCACUAAAGUCUAGAAGAACGAAAGCAUGAUAUUCAACACUGUUCAACAUAUUCUGUCUUCUCCCUACCUUUCCCAUCUUGUCUUCCACAAAGGCACACAGAGCCACCAAAUUCUAGAAAUGCUCCAUGCUCUUUUUAAGUCUUAAAAGCUUCACUGCUAUUCCUUGCACCUGGGAUUUUCUUGCCAUUUCUGACUCUACCUCUACCAAGUAAACUACAGUUUACUCAAACAGUCAAAGUUCACUCUACCUCUACCAAGUAAACUGCAGUUUACUCAAACAGUCAAAGUUCACACAUCUAUUUUCCUCACUAGCCCAAGACACAGUUUCACAAUCUUGUCUCUGCUGGAAACCACCACAUCUCAUGGAAUGAUGGGUGUGUGAGUGUUCUCGUGGCUAAAAUUACUUGUGUUUAUUUCUUAUGACCAGCACCUACUGGCAGUGCUUAGAAAGAGAAAACAUGCUCAAUAUAUGUUUAAUGCAAAGAUAGAAGAAAGAAUAUUACUUUUUCCAGUUGUAGUACAGGAGAUAUUCCUGGGAGGACAUCUGGGAAAGCAUUUCCUAUGGGUCUUUACACAAUGAUCCCCAUGGAGUAGAAGGAAAAAAACAUAUAAUAAUAUUUCAAGCUUCUCAAUUUUGCCCAGCCUUCAAGAGCUUAUUUCCUAUGGAACAUUGACUGUAUGGAGUUAAAUUAGAUUUUAUCAAAUAGUAAUUUGUCACAUAUGUAAUACAUGAAGGUGUGUGAUUGAUGUGGAAUCUUGAAAAAUCAUUCUAAUAUGUCAGAAGGACAAAUGGAUUAAUGAGAGGUAUAAUUUAUGGUCGUAGAUGCGGCUCUGUAUUAAGUUGGCAAAAUCAAAGCCUCACUUAAAGGUAAUCUACCUCACUCCAUUCUUAACUAAAGUGUCAUUGCCAGUAAGACCAGCAUAGUGGAAACAGCUCAAUUGUGUUGAAUUCAAGCUACUUAAUCGGCUUCCUUUGACUGAUUCUUCAGAGCAUUUGUUACUAUACUUGAUAAAUAUGUGACCCUGGAUGUUUUAUCACUUUAAUUUUUAUAUCACUAGAAAUAAAGUGUAUUUUAAUUUUUAAUAUUUAGGGCCAGGCUCACGUGUGUAAUCCCAGCACUUUGGGAGGCCAAGGCAGGUGGAUCACCUAAGGUCAGAAAUUUGAGACCAGCCUGGCUAACAUGGUGAAAUCCUGUCUCUACCAAAAAGUACAAAAAUUAGCUAGGUGUGGUGGUGCAUUCUUAUAGUCCCAGCCACUAGGGAACUUGAUGUGGGAGAAUUGCUUGAACCCAGGAGGAGGAGGCUGCAGUGAGCCUAGAUCGCACUACUGUACUUCAGCCUGGGCGACAGUGUGAGACACUGUCUCAAAUAAUAGUAAUAAAUAAUAAUAAUAAUGUUUAGUUUUAAUAUAACUAGAAAUGAAACUUCCCUUAGAACAUAAAUGUAUCUUUUCGCUGCCUUUUUUUUCCAUUUUAAGUCUAUAAGUUACUGCCAUGAACUAAAUUGUGUCUCUCCUAAAUUCAUAUGUUGAACCUCUAGCUCUCUGUGUGACUUUUUUGAAGAUAAAGUUUUUUUCUUUUUCUUUUUUGAUUUUUGUAGGUACAGUCUUUAAGAAGGUGAGGUAAAAUGAGGUCAUAAAAGUAGGUCCCUAACUGAGUAGAACUGGUGUUCUUAGAAGAAGAGGAAGAGAUACUAGAGCUCUCUCUCUCCCUAGUGUGCACACAGCAAAGGUCAGACAGAGUGGCCUCAUCAGACACCAACUCUGAAGGCACCUUGUUCUUGAACUUCUGACUUCCAGAACCGUGAGAAAAUAAAUUUCUGUUGUUUAACCCACUCAGUCUAUGGUAUUCUCUUAUGACAGAGUAAGUACACCAAUAUAGUUACAUAGAGUGGAAUACACAGAAUUUAAAUUUACAUUGCAAUAUGUUUUAACAUAUGCAUAUACUCAUAUAACCUCUCCCCAGUCAGAAGAGAACAUUUGCAACAUCUCGGAAAGCCUGGACUCUCUGCCACAUCCCAAGGCAGUCUGGCUUCAAACUCCCACCCAGGGGCAACUGCUACUCUGAUUUCUAUCUCCAUAAAUUAAGCUUUGCCUAUAAUAGAAUUUCAAAUAAAUGAAAUCUUACAAUACGUACUGUUUUGGUCAGAAUGUAUUAGCUCAACAUCACGUUUUUAAGAUUCACCCAUGUCAUUUCAUUCAUACAAAUAUUGAUAUUCCUGAAUGGUAUUUCAUUUUAUAAAUAUAUCAUCCUUUAUUUAUUCAUUGUCUUGUUAAUAGAUAUUUGAAUUAUUUUUAGUUUUAUUUUUAUAUUAUGAAUAAAGCUGCUCUGAACAUUCU
This 14736-nucleotide long non-coding RNA is filed under the name Homo sapiens (human). Its description in RNAcentral is "HSALNT0069246". The record is from RNAcentral. Lineage: Eukaryota; Metazoa; Chordata; Mammalia; Primates; Hominidae.